RNAcentral lists this ribosomal RNA (372 nucleotides) under uncultured organism. Its description in RNAcentral is "partial 16S ribosomal RNA". It matches the Rfam family "Bacterial small subunit ribosomal RNA", at positions 527 to 896 of the family's 1533-position model. The record is from RNAcentral.
GUAGGUGGCAAGCGUUGUCCGGAAUUAUUGGGCGAAAAGCGCGCGCAGGCGGUUCUUUAAGUCUGAUGUGAAAGCCCACGGGCUCAACCGUGGAGGGUCAUUGGAAACUGGAGAACUUGAGUACAGAAGAGGAAAGCGGAAUUCCACGUGUAGCGGUGAAAUGCGUAGAGAUGUGGAGGAACACCAGUGGCGAAGGCGGCUUUCUGGUCUGUAACUGACGCUGAGGCGCGAAAGCGUGGGGAGCAAACAGGAUUAGAUACCCUGGUAGUCCACGCCGUAAACGAUGAGUGCUAAGUGUUAGGGGGUUUCCGCCCCUUAGUGCUGCAGCUAACGCAUUAAGCACUCCGCCUGGGGAGUACGGCCGCAAGGCUG